Small nucleolar RNA from Chelonoidis abingdonii (Abingdon island giant tortoise), 74 nucleotides. Ensembl annotates it as small nucleolar RNA, C/D box 61. Its record names the gene SNORD61. Lineage: Eukaryota; Metazoa; Chordata; Testudines; Testudinidae. The record is from Ensembl.
GCUGUGAUGAAUCUUAUGGCUUUGAUCAGCUGAAGUGAUAUUGCUUUCUUGAUCCUCUAAGAAGUUCUGAGCAC